Molecule: ribosomal RNA, 679 nt
Filed under: Microascales sp. BFI6
Lineage: Eukaryota; Fungi; Ascomycota; Sordariomycetes; Microascales
Description: SSU rRNA
Rfam family: Eukaryotic small subunit ribosomal RNA
Source: RNAcentral
UGAUUAAUAGGGACAGUCGGGGGCAUCAGUAUUCAGUUGUCAGAGGUGAAAUUCUUGGAUCUACUGAAGACUAACUACUGCGAAAGCAUUUGCCAAGGAUGUUUUCAUUGAUAAGGAACGAAAGUUAGGGGAUCGAAGACGAUCAGAUACCGUCGUAGUCUUAACUAUAAACUAUGCCGACUAGGGAUCGGACGAUGUUAUUAUUUGACGCGUUCGGCACCUUUCGAGAAAUCAAAGUGCUUGGGCUCCAGGGGGAGUAUGGUCGCAAGGCUGAAACUUAAAGAAAUUGACGGAAGGGCACCACCAGGGGUGGAACCUGCGGCUUAAUUUGACUCAACACGGGGAAACUCACCAGGUCCAGACACAGUGAGGAUUGACAGAUUGAGAGCUCUUUCUUGAUUCUGUGGGUGGUGGUGCAUGGCCGUUCUUAGUUGGUGGAGUGAUUUGUCUGCUUAAUUGCGAUAACGAACGAGACCUUAACCUGCUAAAUAGCCCGUACUGCUUUGGCAGUUCGCCGGCUUCUUAGAGGGACUAUCGGCUCAAGCCGAUGGAAGUUUGAGGCAAUAACAGGUCUGUGAUGCCCUUAGAUGUCCUGGGCCGCACGCGCGUUACACUGACAGAGCCAGCGAGUACCUCCUUGACCGGAAGGUCCGGGUAAUCUUGUUAAACUCUGUCGUGC